This 1190-nucleotide ribosomal RNA is filed under the name Bacillus haynesii. Its description in RNAcentral is "bacterial SSU rRNA". It matches the Rfam family "Bacterial small subunit ribosomal RNA", at positions 145 to 1320 of the family's 1533-position model. The record is from RNAcentral. Lineage: Bacteria; Bacillati; Bacillota; Bacilli; Caryophanales; Bacillaceae.
AACUCCGGGAAACCGGGGCUAAUACCGGAUGCUUGAUUGAACCGCAUGGUUCAAUUAUAAAAGGUGGCUUUUAGCUACCACUUACAGAUGGACCCGCGGCGCAUUAGCUAGUUGGUGAGGUAACGGCUCACCAAGGCAACGAUGCGUAGCCGACCUGAGAGGGUGAUCGGCCACACUGGGACUGAGACACGGCCCAGACUCCUACGGGAGGCAGCAGUAGGGAAUCUUCCGCAAUGGACGAAAGUCUGACGGAGCAACGCCGCGUGAGUGAUGAAGGUUUUCGGAUCGUAAAACUCUGUUGUUAGGGAAGAACAAGUACCGUUCGAAUAGGGCGGUACCUUGACGGUACCUAACCAGAAAGCCACGGCUAACUACGUGCCAGCAGCCGCGGUAAUACGUAGGUGGCAAGCGUUGUCCGGAAUUAUUGGGCGUAAAGCGCGCGCAGGCGGUUUCUUAAGUCUGAUGUGAAAGCCCCCGGCUCAACCGGGGAGGGUCAUUGGAAACUGGGGAACUUGAGUGCAGAAGAGGAGAGUGGAAUUCCACGUGUAGCGGUGAAAUGCGUAGAGAUGUGGAGGAACACCAGUGGCGAAGGCGACUCUCUGGUCUGUAACUGACGCUGAGGCGCGAAAGCGUGGGGAGCGAACAGGAUUAGAUACCCUGGUAGUCCACGCCGUAAACGAUGAGUGCUAAGUGUUAGAGGGUUUCCGCCCUUUAGUGCUGCAGCAAACGCAUUAAGCACUCCGCCUGGGGAGUACGGUCGCAAGACUGAAACUCAAAGGAAUUGACGGGGGCCCGCACAAGCGGUGGAGCAUGUGGUUUAAUUCGAAGCAACGCGAAGAACCUUACCAGGUCUUGACAUCCUCUGACAACCCUAGAGAUAGGGCUUCCCCUUCGGGGGCAGAGUGACAGGUGGUGCAUGGUUGUCGUCAGCUCGUGUCGUGAGAUGUUGGGUUAAGUCCCGCAACGAGCGCAACCCUUGAUCUUAGUUGCCAGCAUUCAGUUGGGCACUCUAAGGUGACUGCCGGUGACAAACCGGAGGAAGGUGGGGAUGACGUCAAAUCAUCAUGCCCCUUAUGACCUGGGCUACACACGUGCUACAAUGGGCAGAACAAAGGGCAGCGAAGCCGCGAGGCUAAGCCAAUCCCACAAAUCUGUUCUCAGUUCGGAUCGCAGUCUGCAACUCGACUGCG